Molecule: transfer RNA, 65 nt
Filed under: Pseudoregma bambucicola
Lineage: Eukaryota; Metazoa; Arthropoda; Insecta; Hemiptera; Hormaphididae
Description: tRNA-Phe
Source: RNAcentral
AUUUAAAUAGCUUAAGGUUGAGAGUAUUAUAUUGAAGAUAUAAGGGUAAUUUUUAUUUUUAAAUA